Long non-coding RNA from Oncorhynchus gorbuscha (pink salmon), 681 nucleotides. RefSeq lists it as uncharacterized. The transcript is spliced from 4 exons. The record is from RefSeq and is a predicted model, not a curated record. NCBI's taxonomy places the organism in Eukaryota, Metazoa, Chordata, Actinopteri, Salmoniformes, Salmonidae.
UUGAAGUUCGUUUUGCCCGCUGGUGUUUGUGCGGGCUUGUUGGUUUGGUGAUGUAUCGUGUUUGUUUUGAGUUUUCGUUGUCCAAUGUUUGUAACUAGGUUUUGGGUUUGUUUAGCGCCAGUGUUUUAGGGCAUUCACCCAUGUUUGGACCUGUUACGUUUUGAAGGACAUUAAAGCGUUUUUCUCGUUCACUUCGCUUUCUGCAUUUGACUCCUCACUCAUUCACCCGACGUUACAGGAAGUAAAAAUAAAUAAUCGUUAUUGUCCCCUUUUGAAAGUCCAUUGUCAUUAAUCAAGCAAAUCAGAAACAUACACUUCUGUAGUUAAUUGGAACCAAGAUUGAAAUCUACAAGGUACUUUUUUUUCUUUGUUACAAGUGCCUAUUCAAGAUCAACUCAGAUAAGGGGUCCAAAGUGGAGAAGUCAAGAAAGCAGCAUGCAAUCAAUCCCAAAAGUUAUUUUUCUGAUCUCAAACAUCGCAGACUAUGAAUGGAGGGAGUAGCCUUGCGCACGCACACAUACAGUUUCGCAACUGAUGCCAGUUAGAUCAAGGAUUACUGACCUUUGCCUGCCCUGAGCCUGCCGGCCGUCCUGUACCUUUGCCCAACCUAUCUGGAUUACUGACCUCUGCCUGCCCUUGACCUGCAUGCCCCUGUUAGAUUAAUAAACUGUUGUUACUUCG